AUUGAACGCUGGCGGCAUGCCUUACACAUGCAAGUCGAACGGUAACAGGUCUUCGGAUGCUGACGAGUGGCGAACGGGUGAGUAAUACAUCGGAACGUGCCCGAUCGUGGGGGAUAACGGAGCGAAAGCUUUGCUAAUACCGCAUACGAUCUACGGAUGAAAGCAGGGGACCGCAAGGCCUUGCGCGGACGGAGCGGCCGAUGGCAGAUUAGGUAGUUGGUGGGAUAAAAGCUUACCAAGCCGACGAUCUGUAGCUGGUCUGAGAGGACGACCAGCCGCACUGGGACUGAGACACGGCCCAG
RNAcentral lists this ribosomal RNA (302 nucleotides) under uncultured Acidovorax sp. Its description in RNAcentral is "bacterial SSU rRNA". It matches the Rfam family "Bacterial small subunit ribosomal RNA", at positions 30 to 334 of the family's 1533-position model. The record is from RNAcentral. Lineage: Bacteria; Pseudomonadati; Pseudomonadota; Betaproteobacteria; Burkholderiales; Comamonadaceae.